UUCGGGGUGCACAACGGUUGCGCCAAAAACGGUCCAAAAAUGGCCAAGGCUUUACCAUACGAAAAAUCGGCCGAUUUUAAACCAUGUGAAAACGUCCCGAAAAUUCACAGAUAACUACUAGGAGCCUCACUCUGAGUAAUAUCAAAGUUUUUCACACAAAACCGCUCGGAGAUGCCCGGACUCAGUUUUUAUUUUCGUCCCAAUACUUUUCUUCCAAUGGACUAGUUGUGUUUCUUUGAUCUUGUGCAACCUCUUUAGGCCGAUGAUAGCCCGCGGAUAGUGUGGAAAACCCAUCUAUUGCACCCAGUACGACACAGAAAAAAAGCCCAGGGCCUAGGGUCGUGGUGCUCGUUCGUGCACAACGUUGCGCCAAAAACGGUCCAAAAAUGGCCAAGGCUUUACCAUACGAAAAAUCGGCCGAUUUUUAACCAUGUGAAAACGUCCCGAAAAUUCACAGAUAACUACUAGGAGGCCUCACUCUGAGUAAUAUUCAAAGUUUUUUCCCACAAGAACCGCUCGAGAUGCCCGGACUCAGUUUUUAUUUUCGUCCCAAUACUUUUUUCCAAUGACUAGUUGUGUUUCUUGAUCUUGUGCAACCUCUUUAGGCCGAUGAUAGCCGCGGAUAGUGUGGAAACCCAUCUAUAUUGCACCCAGUACGACACAGAAAAAAAGCCCAGGCCUAGGUCGGGUGGGCUCGUUCGGGUGCACAACGGUUGCGCCAAAAACGGUCCAAAAAAUGGCCAAGGCUUUACCAUACGAAAAAUCGGCCGAUUUUUAACCAUGUGAAACGUCCCGAAAAUUCACAGAUAACUACUAGAGCCUCACUCUGAGUAAUAUCAAAGUUUUUUCCCACAAGAACCGCUCGAGAUGCCCGACUCAGUUUUUAUUUUCGUCCCAAUACUUUUCUUCCAAUGACUAGUUGUGUUUCUUUGAUCUUGUGCAACCUCUUUAGGCCGAUGAUAGCCCGCGGAUAGGUGUGGAAACCCAUCUAUAUUGCACCCAGUACGACACAGAAAAAAAAGCCA
RNAcentral lists this long non-coding RNA (1025 nucleotides) under Cucumis sativus (cucumber). RNAcentral's name for it is "long non-coding RNA (CSAT_LNC001741)". Lineage: Eukaryota; Viridiplantae; Streptophyta; Magnoliopsida; Cucurbitales; Cucurbitaceae. The record is from RNAcentral.